GAUGAACGCUGGCGGCGUGCUUAACACAUGCAAGUCGAACGGGAAACAUUUUAUUGAAGCUUAGGCGGAUUUAGCUUGUUUCUAGUGGCGGACGGGUGAGUAACGCGUGGGUAACCUGCCUUAUACCGGGGGAUAACCGCCAGAAAUGGCUGCUAAUACCGCAUAAGCGCACGGAGCCGCAGGGCUCUGUGUGAAAAACUCCGAUGGUAUAAGAUGGGCCCGCGUUGGAUUAGCUAGUUGGCAGGGAAGCGGCCUACCAAGGCGACGAUGCAUGGCCGGCCUGAGAGGGUGAACGGCCACAGUGGGACGGAGACACGGCCCAGACUCCUACGGGAGGCAGCAGUGGGUAAUAUUGCACAAUGGGGGAAACCCUGAUGCAGCGACGCCGCGUGAAGGAAGAAGUAUCUCGGUAUGUAAACUUCUAUCAGCAGGGAAGAUAAUGACGGUACCUGACUAAGAAGCCCCGGCUAACUACGUGCCAGCCGCCGCGGUAA
This 494-nucleotide ribosomal RNA is filed under the name uncultured bacterium. Its description in RNAcentral is "partial 16S ribosomal RNA". It matches the Rfam family "Bacterial small subunit ribosomal RNA", at positions 28 to 523 of the family's 1533-position model. The record is from RNAcentral.